GUCACGGAAACACCGUGGCCGGGUUUGGCGACCCGAUUAUUAGGAGGCGGACGAGCCGCCGCAUGUGCGGCUUUUUC
RNAcentral lists this small RNA (77 nucleotides) under Burkholderia mallei. RNAcentral's name for it is "isrK". It matches the Rfam family "isrK Hfq binding RNA". The record is from RNAcentral. Lineage: Bacteria; Pseudomonadati; Pseudomonadota; Betaproteobacteria; Burkholderiales; Burkholderiaceae.